This 994-nucleotide ribosomal RNA is filed under the name Lacticaseibacillus rhamnosus. RNAcentral's name for it is "bacterial SSU rRNA". It matches the Rfam family "Bacterial small subunit ribosomal RNA", at positions 39 to 1015 of the family's 1533-position model. The record is from RNAcentral. Lineage: Bacteria; Bacillati; Bacillota; Bacilli; Lactobacillales; Lactobacillaceae.
GUGGUACGAGUGUCUCAUGUAUUGAAAGGUGCUUGCAUCUUGAUUUAGAUUUUGAACGAGUGGCGGACGGGUGAGUAACACGUGGGUAACCUGCCCUUAAGUGGGGGAUAACAUUUGGAAACAGAUGCUAAUACCGCAUAAAUCCAAGAACCGCAUGGUUCUUGGCUGAAAGAUGGCGUAAGCUAUCGCUUUUGGAUGGACCCGCGGCGUAUUAGCUAGUUGGUGAGGUAACGGCUCACCAAGGCAAUGAUACGUAGCCGAACUGAGAGGUUGAUCGGCCACAUUGGGACUGAGACACGGCCCAAACUCCUACGGGAGGCAGCAGUAGGGAAUCUUCCACAAUGGACGCAAGUCUGAUGGAGCAACGCCGCGUGAGUGAAGAAGGCUUUCGGGUCGUAAAACUCUGUUGUUGGAGAAGAAUGGUCGGCAGAGUAACUGUUGUCGGCGUGACGGUAUCCAACCAGAAAGCCACGGCUAACUACGUGCCAGCAGCCGCGGUAAUACGUAGGUGGCAAGCGUUAUCCGGAUUUAUUGGGCGUAAAGCGAGCGCAGGCGGUUUUUUAAGUCUGAUGUGAAAGCCCUCGGCUUAACCGAGGAAGUGCAUCGGAAACUGGGAAACUUGAGUGCAGAAGAGGACAGUGGAACUCCAUGUGUAGCGGUGAAAUGCGUAGAUAUAUGGAAGAACACCAGUGGCGAAGGCGGCUGUCUGGUCUGUAACUGACGCUGAGGCUCGAAAGCAUGGGUAGCGAACAGGAUUAGAUACCCUGGUAGUCCAUGCCGUACACGAUGAAUGCUAGGUGUUGGAGGGUUUCCGCCCUUCAGUGCCGCAGCUAACGCAUUAAGCAUUCCGCCUGGGGAGUACGACCGCAAGGUUGAAACUCACAGGAAUUGACGGGGGCCCGCACAAGCGGUGGAGCAUGUGGUUUAAUUCGAAGCAACGCGAAGAACCUUACGAGGUCUUGACAUCUUUUGAUCACCUGAGAGAUCAGGUAAC